Molecule: non-coding RNA, 104 nt
Filed under: Paramoeba aestuarina
Lineage: Eukaryota; Discosea; Flabellinia; Dactylopodida; Paramoebidae
Source: RNAcentral
GUAACACAAAGUAAAAAAAAAGAAAAAGAAAAAAAAGAAAUAUCCCUUUGUUUUAAAAUAUUUUCCUAAUUCUUCCUUUCCCCUCUCUUUUUUUUUUUUUUUUU